This 595-nucleotide small RNA is filed under the name Pan troglodytes (chimpanzee). Its description in RNAcentral is "retained intron". The record is from RNAcentral. Lineage: Eukaryota; Metazoa; Chordata; Mammalia; Primates; Hominidae.
CCCUCACUAGAAAGACAUCAUCUUGAAUUCACCUUCUCCCCUCUCCCAGGAGACUGGUCUCUGUGCUGACUUCCACCCGAGUGGGGCAGUUGUGGCCGUAGGACUGAACACGGGGAGGUGGUUGGUUUUGGACACAGAGACCAGAGAGAUCGUGUCUGAUGUCAUUGAUGGCAAUGAGCAGCUCUCAGUGGUCCGGUACAGCCCAGGUGGGAGCCACCCCAACCCUGGACUCACAUGCGUCCCUGGCCCUUCCCUCUCUGAGUGACUGUAUUUGCAGAUGGGUUGUACCUGGCCAUUGGUUCCCAUGACAACGUGAUCUACAUCUAUAGUGUUUCCAGUGAUGGUGCCAAAUCCAGCCGCUUUGGCCGCUGUAUGGGUCACUCCAGCUUCAUCACUCAUCUUGACUGGUCCAAGGAUGGGAAUUUCAUCAUGUCCAAUUCUGGGGACUAUGAGAUUCUUUACUGGGACGUGGCUGGAGGCUGCAAGCAGCUGAAGAAUCGCUAUGAGAGCCGAGACCGGGAAUGGGCUACCUACACCUGUGUGCUGGGUUUUCACGUCUACGGUGAGCAGGGGCGUGGAACCCUGCUGGAAGGGU